RNAcentral lists this ribosomal RNA (449 nucleotides) under uncultured bacterium. Its description in RNAcentral is "bacterial SSU rRNA". It matches the Rfam family "Bacterial small subunit ribosomal RNA", at positions 328 to 794 of the family's 1533-position model. The record is from RNAcentral.
UAGCCAGACUCCUACGGGAGGCAGCAGUGGGGAAUAUUGCACAAUGGGGGAAACCCUGAUGCAGCGACGCCGCGUGAGCGAAGAAGUAUUUCGGUAUGUAAAGCUCUAUCAGCAGGGAAGAAAAUGACGGUACCUGACUAAGAAGCUCCGGCUAAAUACGUGCCAGCAGCCGCGGUAAUACGUAUGGAGCAAGCGUUAUCCGGAUUUACUGGGUGUAAAGGGAGCGUAGGCGGUAAGGCAAGUCUGAUGUGAAAGGCCAGGGCUCAACCCUGGGACUGCAUUGGAAACUGUUUAACUGGAGUGUCGGAGAGGCAAGUGGAAUUCCUAGUGUAGCGGUGAAAUGCGUAGAUAUUAGGAGGAACACCAGUGGCGAAGGCGGCUUACUGGACUGUAACUGACGUUGAGGCUCGAAAGCGUGGGGAGCAAACAGGAUUAGAUACCCCAGUAGU